CUCCAACCUCUAAUAUAAUUCUUAGCUUUCUCCAGUGCUUUGAAUUCAGAUGCCAACUCCUCCAAGUCUUAAAUGAUAUCCUCCCUAUAUCACUCAGGCUGCAAGUGUAAGCAAGGGUCACUUACUGACCCAGUACCAAUCCUGAUUACUAAGGAAGGUUUAAUCUGUUCUCUUUUCUUACCUAGACCUAUUUACCCCUUCUUAGACAGCUCUGGUGACCCUCCUCUCCCAGGAAACUCACCAUAUUGUUGCUAAGAUUAGUGAGGAUAUUUGAUUAGCUUUAACUCUGUUGCUUUGAUUAGCUUUAACUCUCUUUAUUUGAUUAUUUGAUAUCUGAUUAGCUUUAACUCUAACUCUCUCUUUAGAACUCACAAAUCAGCUUUAGCUUCUUCAGGAGUUGCAGGGACCAGAUAUCCGCCAACAUUCCUGAUCCUUUAAAGAUUUUCAAGCAUAGUGGUGACAUGAGGCUAAAAUCAGAUUAUAUUAGGUAGUAGUGAAGAUGAAUGGAAUGGGAAAAAGGGUAAGAAACAGGGAGAAGUUAGCUUUAGGUGACAAGUGUCUGGAUGAAGUAACAGCAAGAAUGAAUGGUGAAGGGCUAGAUGUGAUAUAUUUCAGAGGAACAAUUUUUAAGACUUGGUGCCUAGGUCUAGGUCACAAGACAGUAAAGCCCAUUAUAAUAAAGUAUUUCAGUGAUUGGAAGAAUGCUGGCAUUUAUUGAUAGAAAUAGGAAAAUUAAGGUUCCAGGGGGAAAUGGCAAUUUCUUUUUGAGGCAUUUUAAAAUUAAAGUGAUGGUAAAACAUUAAGAUUUUACUGCAAAGGAAGGAAAAGACCAGAACUCUGUCAGAUGUACAUCGUCUUUUACAGAGGUUAUGUUGGAAAUUAGGAGAAUCAGUUCACCAAGGGAAUGCAGAAAAAAAUAGGAGAGGGCUAAGUACACCGAGUAUUGGGGAAUAGCCAGAUUUGAGGCAGUGAAAGGCGGCAGAAGGCAGAACAAAAAGAGUGCAAAUUUCAAGGGAGAAGGGUUUUAAUAAGUGGAUGAUCAGAUAACAUAAAUUAACAUGCUUACAAUAAUAACUACACAGCUAAACUAUGACAUCUCCCCUGAAGCACUAAUCAAUCUCCAAAUUAGCAUUGGGUCUAGGUCAAAUCAAAUAAGACACUAAACCAAAUCGCAAUCUUCUUGAGAAGUGUUGGGAUAUGGUGGAGAGGACUAGCUUUGAAAAAAUUGGGUUCAAAUGUAGCCUCUGAGACACUUCCAAAAUAAGUGACCAGGGUGAGCAACUUAAACCUUAGUUAACCCUGGCCAUUCAGGAAUGACUCUUAAGAUUUAGAAAUUAUGGAAUUAUUUUGGAUUCUUUGGAUUACAUGGAGGAUUCCCUGGUCUUUUAGCUCUUUGUGGCAGCUGAGUAGUAUAAAGAAUAGGGUAUUGGAUAGGAAGUCAGGAAGAGGUAGGAAAUCAAAUCCUCCAUCUAGUGUUUUUUUUGUUUUUUUUUUUUUGAGGCAGAUAGUGGAUGGAACACUUGCUUCAAGUCCAAAAAAUGUAAGGUCAAAUCCUUUGAAAUUUACUAGCUGUGUGAGCCAGAACAAGUUACUUAAAUUUCCUGAUCUAUAAAAUGAAGGGGUUGGUAUACAUACCCUUUAAAGUUCCUUCUUACUCUUAAUCUUUGGAUUUCCCCUAUUGACUUUUGAGUUUUCACUGUCCAUUUGUUUAGUCAUAUUUACUGCAAGCCAGUAUUGGUAUAAUAACAUUUUACCAUAUCCUGAUUUAGACUCCAAGACACUGCAGUAGCAGUAACACCAUCCACAAAACAAAACCUCCUUCCUUUUCCUCUAGAAACCAGAAAGGGUUUUCUUCCUCCUCUCUAAUAAUUGCUUUGGACUAUUUCCUCCUUUGCCCUCAAAAUGUUGGCUUCUCUAAGGUUGGUUUUGUAGGUAGCAUUUCCUGAUCCUAAACUUUUUGCUCACCCAUCAUCUAAUCAUAGCUAUAUCCCAGAACAGCCUGAUUUCCUUAAAUACUCUGAGAAGUGUUAAGACUUCUUUCCAGUUGUUUAGAGUAAAAAAAAAAAAGGUAUUAUGACCCCUGAGAAAGGAAAGAAAUAGGAUGAACGGGAUGGGUUCUCCAGCUAGCCACCAAAAAGAAAGAACUUAAACCAAGUUGUUACUGUUACCUUUUUCUUAGUUUCUGUAAGAAAUGGAAGCAUCUACAUAUAAUUCUGGGCCUAUUUUAGGCCUCCAGUCAUGCUAGAAUAAUACUUGAGUCCAGCAGUGUCUCUCCUGAGUCUGUAUCCCAAAUAUCAUAAAAAAGGGAAAAGGAUCUACAUGUGCAAAAAUGUUUGUAGCAGGCCUUUUAAUAAUUGCAAGAAACUGGAAACUAAGUAAAUGCCCAUCAAUUGGGGAAUGGCUGAAUAAGUUAUGGUAUAUGAAUGUUAUGGAAUAUUAUUGUUUUAUGAGAAAUAAUCAGCAGACUGAUUUUAGAGGUCUCUACAUGAACUGAUGCUAAAUAAAUGAGCAUAACUAAGAGAACAUUGUUCAUGACAACAAAAAUACAUGAUCAACUGUAAUGGACUUAGCUCUUUUCAACAAUGAAGUGAUUCAGGUCAAUUCCAAUACACUUUGUGAUGGAGAGAGCCAUCUGCACCCAGACAGAAGACAAUGGGGACUGCAAGUGGUUCACAAUAUAGUCUUUCCCUGUUUGUUGUUGUUUGCUUGUCUUUUUUUCCUCCUCUGUUUAAUCUGAUUUUUUUUGUGCAGUAUGAUAAAUGUAGACAUGUUUAGAAGAAUUGUACAUGUUUAACCUAUAUUGCAUCACUUGCUGUCUAAAGGAGGAGGGAGAAAGAAAAAUAUUAGAACACAAGGUUUUGCAAGGGUGAAUGUUGAAAACUGUCUUUGCAUGUAUUUUGAAAAAGAAAAAGCUAUUAUUAAAAAAAGGAAAAAGCUAUUACUACCUCCCCCGAAAAGGGGAAAAAAAAUACAAUAAUGCUUGGAUCUUCCCAAUUCCCCUUUCAAUGGAUUUUUUUUGCCAGCAGCUCUCAUUGGGUAAUUGACUUAGAAUUGGAAGGGAUUUUAGAAAUUAUGCAGUUCAGCCCACUCAUUUGAAAAAUGAGGAAACUGAGGCAGAGCUAAGAUGGCACAGAGUAGACAGGAUUUUGCUUUGGUUCUUUCUGACUUCCCUCAGAAUCAACAUUAGAUCAAGCCUUUGAACAAAUUUUGGAGUGACAGAACCCACAAAUAUUUGGAGUGUAACAAAUUUCCAACAGAAGAUAUUUUGGAAGGACUUCAGAAGAAGUCUGUCUCAAUUGGGCAGAGGGGGAUGUUGCCCAGUGCAAGGAGAGCAAAGGCCCCGCAUGGGAAAACAUAAUAGGAGGCUCUUAGCCAAAAUACAGGAGCAUUGGCUGCUCUUUCCUUGUUCAGAAGACCAGUGGAUCAGCAGAUUAGCUGUGAGACCUCCAACAUAAGUACAGAAGGCAAAGAAUGAGCUCCCAAAUCCCAGCAAAACAGGUAAGAUUUGGCCAGGCCCACUGAGUGCAGUGGAAAAGCCCAUAGAAGCUCUUGUUGCUCUGUAGAGGAAAUUCAGGACAAUCUCCCCUGUGCCCUAGGAGCAAACUUCAAUCUUUAAAAGUAAGCAAAAAAGCAAAAAGAGUUCUGCCCACAGAUAGCCAUUAUGGAGGCAGGGAACUGAAAUCUUGAGGAAACUAAAGGCAAAAUGCCUCUAUAUGAAAUUUCAAAGGAGAUAUGAACUGGUCUCCAUCUCAAAAGGCUCUCUUGAUCAAAAAGAAUCUUAAAAGAGAGAAGAAAAAUCAGGAAAGCAAAUGAGAGCUUUGCAGGAGUUUGGAAAAGGAAACAAAAAUUAAUUGAAGAAAACAACCCCCUAAAAAAUAGAAUUAG
This 3885-nucleotide long non-coding RNA is filed under the name Sarcophilus harrisii (Tasmanian devil). RNAcentral describes it as "lncRNA (ENSSHAG00000023637.1)". The record is from RNAcentral. Lineage: Eukaryota; Metazoa; Chordata; Mammalia; Dasyuromorphia; Dasyuridae.